ACUUGAGUGAUAUGAGACUCUGGAUGCUUUCAGCUGAUUUCUGUUGAACUGUCAGCAACUGAACUGCAGCUCAAACUAUUUCAAAUAUAGUGAAUUAAGUUACAAACUCCAUAAUAAUGCACAGUGUUUCCAUCUGACAUGUAUUUUGAGCUGCAGCUCGUCGUAUUAAUGGAGUGUUUCACUAGUUAGCAGUAAACCGGUUACCUCACCUGAAUAUGUUCGAAGUAUGUAAUCUUUGGAGUGGAAAUAUGGAUAUUUUAUUUAUCAUACUUGUUUCGCUUAAUUCAGUUAAUGUCUUAAAACUAGUGAGCUAAGCCAGUAGUAGUGCUAACAGUGUCAUGUAAACAUGACUGAAGACGUGAAGAGACGAACAGACAAACCGAUUCAAUGAGUGAGUCAUUUACACGUCAAAUCGAUUCAAUGAGUGAGUCAUUUACGCGUCAAAUCGAUUCAAUAAGUGAGUCAUUUACGCGUCAAACCGAUUCAAUGAGUGAGUCAUUUACGCGUCAAACCGAUUCAAUGAGUGAGUCAUUUACGCGUCAAACCGAUUCAAUGAGUGAGUCAUUUACGCGUCAAACAGAUUCAAUGAAUGAGUCAUUUACGCGUCAAACCGAUUCAAUUACUGAGUCAUUUACGCGUCAAACCGAUUCAAUGACUGAGUCAUUUACGCCUCAAACCGAUUCAAUGAGUGAGUCAUUUACGCGUCAAACCAAUUCAAUGAAUGAGUCAUUUACGCCUCAAACCGAUUCAAUGACUGAGCCAUUCAUUUUCGAAUCAUUGGAUUUAGAUUGGAACUUCACAUAUCGCGAAUCAUUUGAUUCACAUCGGGACUUCAGGAUGUGUCCUACAAUCUGUACCCGACCCGAAUCGACACGAACCGAACGUGCAUAAAUUGUUUUAUAAAGCGGAUAGUUCAGUCCUUGAUUCUGAUUGACAUGCACUUCUUUGUUUACUUCUGUGUUUUGCUCGGCAACCCCUCUGUCACAACCACAACCGUUUCUGAGGAACUACAUUGUUUAGCGGAAGAAUAAUGUUUUUAUUAAUAUCAUUACAUUUUAUUUGCUUUGUUUAAUUUUGUGCAGUCUUGCUCGUAUAUGGAAUAACCGGUCCGUGUCGUGCCUAACAACGACCCUUAGCUGUUAUAAAUUCACUGUAAAUAAUUACAAAUUAAUAAUAAAUAAAUAAAAAUGAUAAGAAUUUAACUAAAU
Long non-coding RNA from Cyprinus carpio (common carp), 1208 nucleotides. NCBI's taxonomy places the organism in Eukaryota, Metazoa, Chordata, Actinopteri, Cypriniformes, Cyprinidae. The record is from Ensembl.